Molecule: ribosomal RNA, 448 nt
Filed under: Leifsonia xyli
Lineage: Bacteria; Bacillati; Actinomycetota; Actinomycetes; Micrococcales; Microbacteriaceae
Description: bacterial SSU rRNA
Rfam family: Bacterial small subunit ribosomal RNA
Source: RNAcentral
UGGUUCAGGACGAACGCUGGCGGCGUGCUUAACACAUGCAAGUCGAACGAUGAACCCGGAGCUUGCUCUGGGGAAUUAGUGGCGAACGGGUGAGUAACACGUGAGUAACCUGCCCUUGACUCUGGGAUAACCUCCGGAAACGGAAGCUAAUACCGGAUACGACGUACGGAGGCAUCUCCUGUACGUGGAAAGAACUUCGGUCAAGGAUGGACUCGCGGCCUAUCAGGUAGUUGGUGAGGUAACGGCCCACCAAGCCUACGACGGGUAGCCGGCCUGAGAGGGUGACCGGCCACACUGGGACUGAGACACGGCCCAGACUCCUACGGGAGGCAGCAGUGGGGAAUAUUGCACAAUGGGCGCAAGCCUGAUGCAGCAACGCCGCGUGAGGGAUGACGGCCUUCGGGUUGUAAACCUCUUUUAGUAGGGAAGAAGCGAAAGUGACGGUACC